UUUUCUGUUCUUACAGCUUACAUAGCAUUUUGACGUCCAUCCUUCGUUUGGUCUUCUCAGCCCUGAGAGGGAGGUGGCACACUUUAUACCCCUCCUGUGCAAGUAUUUAAAUCUAGCUGUGUUAAUCCUACUUCCUGUUUCAGAUUAUGAAUUAUUUCAAGGCAAAUGCCUUCCCUAUGUUUGUUUCUAUCAGAUAGCUCAACGUGUCAGAGUUCAAUAAAUAAUACAUAGCAACAGUGAGAUUUUUUUUCUUAUUGAAAUACAUCUUACAUGGGGGUUGUUGGUGGUAUUUGCCUCCAGAAGUUUUGCUGCUGAUAGAAAAAGACAAAGUACCCUUUCUAAUGUGAAUUUAUGGAAUGAUUGUCUGCCCAUAAAAAAUUAUUCUCCAGCUUGGAGCAAUUAAAGUGGUCUCUCUCCUCUCCAAAUUAAUGUAAUUAAUACUAUAGUCUUGGUUGUUUAUCAUGUCUUGAUAAUAUCACAAGGGAAUGAAAAUAUUGGCUCUUUUAUCCCUUUAAAUAGCUGAGAUGGAACUGUUCAAGCUCUAAUGUUACAACAGCUGUUUCUCAUGUCCCAGAAUAUAAUUGGUUGGUACUGAGGUUACUAAAUUGUAAGAAAUUGACUUUGGUUUUAUAUGCGUGCCUACUUUUGGUAGAAGGAAAGAUGGGAAAUGUUAGCUUUCUCUUGUAAUGAAAAGGCAAAACCUUCCCCAGUGAAAUGACAGCUUCCGGGUCGCAUCUGUGUAAUUUUCUUUACCAACCUACUGUCUCUGGGUUUGCUGGAUAACACGGCUGGGAAAGCAGGACCAUUCUAGCUAGCUUCCCUCCUAAUUAGCUCUCAACCCAACACAGCUGGUCGAAAUGCAUCAGGGCUUUCCCACGAGGGCCUCUUUCUGGAAGUCAUUGUAAAGUGGUCUGGUCUCCAAUGGCAAAUUCAAUAGGGGAUUUGAGACCAUAAUUAUCCCGAAUAAUUUGUAGAAGGGAGAUUCUUUUAUCUGAAUAUCUUUAUGGCUUGGAUCAGUUGUUCUCAAAGUGUUGUCCUUGGAUCAGCACCAUCAGCGUCACCUAGGAACUGGCUAAACAUUUAGAUUCUCAGGUCCACCCUAGAACUAUUAAAUCAGAAGUUCUGGAAGAUGGAGGGAGGAACUAGCAAUCUAUGUUUAACAAGCUUUCGCGUGAUUCUGAUGUGCACUGGACUUUCAGACUCACUCACUUAGGGUCUUACCAGGUUUCCCUAGUUUGUGAUAGCUCACUACCAGCCUCUCUGCUGCCUGGCUUCCAUUAGGCUCCCAAAGAGUAGAGCCUAUGGCAGGUGCAUACUCCUUUAUAUCAGCCUCCUCAUCACAAACACAUUCACUGUCACUCUUUUCCUCAUUCGUUUCUGGAGUUGUGGGGCACCACCUCAAUCUUUAAAGCACCCAAGAAUCAUACAGCAAUCUUGUUAAAAUACAGGUUCUGAUGUAGCAUGGCCAGAGUGGGGCCUGAGAGUCCACCUUUCUGCCAAGCUCCUUGGGGCUGUUGCUGGUCCAGAGACCACACAGAGACUAGAGGAGCUGGCAUCUAAUUGUGAAGCCAAGUAGGCACAGGAAAAAUUACAAACAAUUCUAAAGAACUUGCCAGUUGGUCAGUGCAAAAUGAGAGCGAUUUAAGUAAUAAAUAGGGUAAGCGUUUAUCAGGUCAGGACUUGAAGGGACUUGGACAGGAUAUUUCCAUUGCAGAAAUGUUCUUAAUGUCUGCUUUCUUCCUCCCUGUGUUUCCUGGGACCCUCACUCUUCCUUCUCUUUCUCUUCCCAUACCACACCCUCUACCUCCCUUUCCUUCCACUUCCCCACUCACAUUUUGUUCAAUUGCCUGGUUCUCUCAUUCUGAAGCUUGCUUCUCUGUUGAUCUUCACACAAGUCAUCACGAACUGAAAAGCUGGAGCCAGUGCCAACACUUGCAAACGGAUCUGGUGGGAAAACCAUGGGGGAGAAAUUUAGGGAGAAGACCUAACUUUGUCACCUAGAGAGGCUUUUCCAGUUGUAAAGCCAAUUGCUCACUCCUGAGUUCUGAUUUCCCUGGUGAAUUCCAUCCAGUGAACUACAGCUUCUCUGUCCUUUAAGUGUCUCCCCUUAGACUGGGAAGGAAUUAAGUGUAAUGUUGGACUUUUCCAGCAGCUUCCAGAUUGGCAAUUUCCUUUAAACUUUGAAAAUUACUUCGAAGUUUCCCUUUGAGGAAAGCUGGUGGUAUGCACAGCUGACAUCUUUGCUCCUGGAUUUGGCUCCCCUAGCCUAGGUGCAGGUGUGUAAAUUGUGGGGGGAUGGGAUUCACUUUGAUGUCUGCUGUGGAACAAUGGCAGGAGACUUUAGAGACAUGAAAAAUAAAGCAAAAGGGUGGCGUGCCUGGGUGGUGCAGUCAAUUGAAUGUCUGACUCUUGGUUUCCACUUAGGAUCUCGGGAUCUCAGGAUCAUGGAAUCAAUCAAGCCCUUGAGAUUCUCUCUCCCUCAAAAAAAAAAAAAAAAA
RNAcentral lists this long non-coding RNA (2498 nucleotides) under Canis lupus familiaris (dog). RNAcentral's name for it is "lncRNA (ENSCAFG00000051200.1)". Lineage: Eukaryota; Metazoa; Chordata; Mammalia; Carnivora; Canidae. The record is from RNAcentral.